GACGAGGGAUCCUAGCGUUGCUCGGAAUCAUUGGGCGUAAAGCGGGUGUAGGGGGCUUUGUAAGUCAGGUGUGAAAGCCCAGGGCUCAACCCUGGAAGUGCAUUUGAUACUGCGAAGCUUGAGUGCUAGAGAGGUCACUGGAAUACCUGGUGUAGUGGUGAAAUACGUAGAUAUCAGGUGGAACACCGGAGGCGAAGGCGGGUGACUGGCUAGACACUGACCCUGAGACCCGAAAGCGUGGGGAUCAAACAGG
Molecule: ribosomal RNA, 253 nt
Filed under: uncultured bacterium
Lineage: Bacteria
Description: partial 16S ribosomal RNA
Rfam family: Bacterial small subunit ribosomal RNA
Source: RNAcentral